This 253-nucleotide ribosomal RNA is filed under the name uncultured bacterium. Its description in RNAcentral is "partial 16S ribosomal RNA". It matches the Rfam family "Bacterial small subunit ribosomal RNA", at positions 524 to 776 of the family's 1533-position model. The record is from RNAcentral.
UACGAAGGGGGCUAGCGUUGUUCGGAAUUACUGGGCGUAAAGCGCGUGUAGGCGGGCCGUUAAGUUGGGGGUGAAAGCCCAGAGCUCAACUCUGGAAUUGCCUUCGAUACUGGCGGCCUGGAGCAUGAUAGAGGCGAGUGGAAUUGCGAGUGUAGAGGUGAAAUUCGUAGAUAUUCGCAGGAACACCAGUGGCGAAGGCGACUCGCUGGAUCAUUGCUGACGCUGAGACGAGAAAGCGUGGGGAGCAAACAGG